RNAcentral lists this ribosomal RNA (1236 nucleotides) under metagenome. RNAcentral's name for it is "bacterial LSU rRNA". It matches the Rfam family "Bacterial large subunit ribosomal RNA", at positions 1564 to 2808 of the family's 2925-position model. The record is from RNAcentral.
UGAGUACGAGACGCUAAGGCGUCGAAGUAGUGUAUGUCAUACUUCCAAGAAAAGCUUGCACUGUCAUUCAUGAAAAAUGCCUGUACCAUAACCGACACAGGUGGGUAGGUAGAGUAUACUAAGGGGCGCGAGAUAACUCUCUCUAAGGAACUCGACAAAAUAACUCCGUAACUUCGGGAGAAGGAGUGCCUUAUUUAUAUAAGGUUGCAAUAACAAGAUCCAAGCAACUGUUUACCAAAAACACAGGUCUCCGCUAAGUCGUAAGACGAUGUAUGGGGGCUGACGCCUGCCCAGUGCCAGAAGGUUAAAGAAGUUGGUUAGCAAUAGCGAAGCUGAUAACUGAAGCCCUGGUGAACGGCGGCCGUAACGAUAACGGUCCUAAGGUAGCGAAAUUCCUUGUCGGGUAAGUUCCGACCCGCACGAAAGGCGUAAUGAUUUGGAUACUGUCUCGGAGAGGGACUCGGUGAAAUAGACUUGUCUGUGAAGAUGCGGACUAUCUGCACCUGGACAGAAAGACCCUAUGAAGCUUUACUGUAACUUGAAAUUGAAAUUGGACUUUAUUCGCGCAGUAUAGGUGGGAGGCGUUGAAAAUAAUCUUGCGGGACUAUUGGAGCCAUCAGUGAGAUACCACUCUUAUAAUGUUAGAUUUCUAACUUUGAAUCAUUAUCUGGUCAAAGAACAGUUUCAGGCGGGCAGUUUGACUGGGGCGGUCGCCUCCCAAACGGUAACGGAGGCGUACAAAGGUUUCCUCUGAACGGGUAGAAAUCGUAUCUAGAGUAUAAAGGCAAAAGGAAGCUUGACUGUGAGACCUACAAGUCGAGCAGGGACGAAAGUCGGUCUUAGUGAUCUGACGGUACUGAGUGGAAAGGCCGUCACUCAACGGAUAAAAGUUACUCUAGGAUAACAGGCUGAUCUCCCCCAAGAGUUCACAUCGACGGGGAGGUUUGGCACCUUGAUGUCGGCUCAUCGCAUCCUGGGGCGGUAGUACGUCCCAAGGGUUGGGCUGUUCGCCCAUGAAAGCGGUACGCGAGCUGGGUUCAGAACGUCGUGAGACAGUUCGGUCCAUAUCCGGUGUAGGCGUUAGAAUAUUGAGAGGAGCCUUCUUUAGUACGAGAGGACCGAGAAGGACAUACCUCUGGUGUACCAGUUAUCGUGCCAACGGUAAACGCUGGGUAGCUAUGUAUGGAGUGGAUAACCGCUGAAAGCAUCUAAGUGGGAAGCCCACCUCAAGAUGAG